Long non-coding RNA from Numida meleagris (helmeted guineafowl), 858 nucleotides. RefSeq lists it as uncharacterized. Lineage: Eukaryota; Metazoa; Chordata; Aves; Galliformes; Numididae. The record is from RefSeq and is a predicted model, not a curated record. The transcript is spliced from 4 exons.
AGAAUGUGUUAGCUGUUAUCAUCAGUUCUUCAUUGCUGCAGUGAGUGGAAGAAGAAGAACUAAGAGAAGUGUACUUUUCACAGUAUUCAGACUUCGGGCAGGAUUCUCCUACCUCAAAGGAAGUCCGCAGUCCAAGCUAACGCAGAUUCAGGCUUCAGAGCAAGACAAGAACCAGUCCUGCAAAUUACAUUUGGUGCUCUGAAGAGUGCCAUUGUGGAGUACAGCAGUCUGAUUUGAAGUGCACAUGACCACAAUGCUGAGAUGCACUGCAGUGUUCUGUGUUACUUGGAGUGUCCUUAACGCCAAAGGCUGUGUGCCUAGUUACUCUGCAUUACUAGAUGCCAGCCAGGAGGUGACACAAGUGUGAAGAACUGCAGCCAGGUCAUUCCCUCCCAGGACUGAAUGAAGUCUUCUAGCCAAAAAGAGUUGACAGAAAGCACUAUUCACAAAUUCUCCAGUUGAGAGUCAGCAAGGCAUCGAGGAGCUAUGAAAUCUGAUUUCUCAGCCUAGAACAUUCUUUCUUUGGCUUCAGAAGUUUAACCAAAAGAUGAUUCAAAUUAAAAAUAACAAAUUCAAAAUAAGAAGUCUUCAUUGAGCUUGUAUAAUAGGAAAAAAAGAAAUAGAGAAAGUUUAUGUCACUCUGGAUACUUGCUUUUCCAGCAGGAUUAGAUGAGCUGCCUCUGAAGAAGCCCAUCCCAUCCCCUUGACUCUAAACAGAGCUGAGGCAACAUGUGUCUAACUUUCAGAUAGCUAAACAUGGCCAAGGAAAGUCCACCUGUAGUCCUCUAAGUCCCUUGACUUUCCCUUCGAUGCCUUUGAAGAAUGUUUGCCUUCUCUGCGCUCACAAGCACUUCACCG